GGCCGCAGCCAUUUUGACUGUGCAAAGGUAGCAUAAUCAUUAGUCUUUUAAUUGAAGGCUGGAAUGAAAGGUUAGAUGAGGUAAAUACUGUUUUAUAAAGAUAAAUUGAAUUUAUAUUUUAAGUAAAAAUACUUAAAUUAUGUUAGGGGACGAGAAGACCCUAUAGAGUUUGAUAUAUUAAAUUUUUACUGUGUUAAUUUUUUGAUUUGAAGUUAAUUAUUAAUUAUAUUUAAUUGGGGUGAUUGAAAAAUAGAAUUAAUUUUUUCUUGAUUUUAAUAUUAUAGGUAGUAGAUUGAUCCAUAAUUAAUGAUUAAAAGAUUAAAUUACCUUAGGGAUAACAGCAUAA
RNAcentral lists this ribosomal RNA (346 nucleotides) under Cliomantis cornuta. RNAcentral describes it as "partial 16S ribosomal RNA". The record is from RNAcentral. Lineage: Eukaryota; Metazoa; Arthropoda; Insecta; Mantodea; Amorphoscelidae.